UUCUUUUAGAGCGAAAUAAAAGUAUCCUCUGCUCCAUGAUUUUAAAUAGCAGCAGUUUUCUGUUCUAAGGUAGCAUAAUCAAUUGUCUUAUUAAUUGUAGACUAGUAUGAAGGAGGGAAUAUUUAAUAGCUUUAUUAUUAAAAAUAUUUGAAAUUAAAUUUUUAGUCAAAAUGCUAAAAUUAAUUAUAGGGACAAGAAGACCCUAAAAGCUUUAUAAAAUAAAAUUAUAUUAUUAUUAUAUAUCAAUUUUUUAGUUGGGGCAAUAUAUUAUUUUGAGAAAUAUAAUAAAAAAAUAAAUCUAAAAAAAAUAAGAUCCUUUAAUGUAAAGAUAAUUUGAAAAAGUUACUUUAGGGAUAACAGGAUAAUUUUUAUUUAAAAGUACAAAUUUAAAAUAUAGAUUAUUACCUCGAUGUUGAAUUCAUCUUAUUAUCUAAUGCAGGAAGUUAUAUAAAUUUGACUGGUCGUCAAUUAAAAAAUUACA
RNAcentral lists this ribosomal RNA (481 nucleotides) under Rakaia lindsayi. Its description in RNAcentral is "partial 16S ribosomal RNA". The record is from RNAcentral. Lineage: Eukaryota; Metazoa; Arthropoda; Arachnida; Opiliones; Pettalidae.